RNAcentral lists this ribosomal RNA (253 nucleotides) under uncultured bacterium. Its description in RNAcentral is "partial 16S ribosomal RNA". It matches the Rfam family "Bacterial small subunit ribosomal RNA", at positions 524 to 776 of the family's 1533-position model. The record is from RNAcentral.
UACGUAGGGAGCGAGCGUUGUCCGGAUUUAUUGGGCGUAAAGCGCGUGUAGGCGGCUCGGUAAGUCCGGUGUGAAACCUUGGGGCUCAACCCCAAGCCUGCACUGGAUACUGUCGAGCUUGAGUCCGGGAGGGGAGAGCGGAAUUCCUAGUGUAGCGGUGAAAUGCGCAGAUAUUAGGAAGAACACCGGUGGCGAAGGCGGCUCUCUGGAACGGUACUGACGCUGAGACGCGAAAGCGUGGGGAGCGAACAGG